GACGAACGCUGGCGGCGUGCUUAACACAUGCAAGUCGAGCGAAAAGGCCAUGCUUUUGUGGGUUGCACGAGAGGGGAACGGGGGUGUAUAACGUGAGUAACAUGCACUUAACUGAGGGGUAAAUUCAGGAGACUGGGGCGAAUACCGCGUAGGAGAUACUGCUGCAUGUUGUGGGUUGGAGAAAUUCGGCGGUUGGGGAUGGUCUCGCGGCUUAUCAGCUUGUUGGUGGGGUAGUGGCUUACCAAGGCUUUGACGGGUAGCCGGCCUGAGAGGGUGACCGGCGACAUGGGGACUGAGAUACGGCCCAGACUCCUACGGGACGCAGCAGUGGGGAAUAUUGCACAAUGGGCGGAAGCCUGAUGCAGCAAUGCCGCGUGCGGGAUGACGGCCUUCGGGUUGUAAACCGCUGUCGCAUGUGAUGAAGCGUGAGUGACGGUAAUGGGUAAAGAAGCACCGGCUAACUACGUG
RNAcentral lists this ribosomal RNA (468 nucleotides) under uncultured bacterium. RNAcentral's name for it is "partial 16S ribosomal RNA". It matches the Rfam family "Bacterial small subunit ribosomal RNA", at positions 28 to 507 of the family's 1533-position model. The record is from RNAcentral.